CACUUUAUUGUUGUUUGAAUGUGGACUUGGAUGUUGCCGUUUUAUCACGGCUCGUCUUAAAUGCCUGAGUGUACCCUGUUUUGCAGCGUAUCCAGUGUAAUAAACAUUUCACUAGAGUUGGUUGAAAGACCGCGUUGACUAUAUGGGCUCUAUGCUUCAAACCGUCUGCCAUGUGGACAAUUUCUUGACAAUUUGACCUCAAAUCGGGUGGGACUACCCGCUGAACUUAAGCAUAUCAAUAAGCGGAGGAAAAGAAACUAACAAGGAUUCCCCUAGUAACGGCGAGUGAAGAGGGAAAAGCUCAAAUUUUAAAUCUGGUGUCUUUGACUCCCGAGUUGUAAUCUAGAGAAGUGUUUUCCGUGUCGGACCGUGUACAAGUUCCCUGGAACGGGGCGUCAUAGAGGGUGAGAAUCCCGUAUAUGCCACGGACUACCGAUGCUCUGUGAUACACUCUCAACGAGUCGAGUUGUUUGGGAAUGCAGCUCAAAAUGGGUGGUAAAUUCCAUCUAAAGCUAAAUAUUGGCGAGAGACCGAUAGCGAACAAGUACCGUGAGGGAAAGAUGAAAAGCACUUUGGAAAGAGAGUGAAACAGUACGUGAAAUUGUUG
This 607-nucleotide ribosomal RNA is filed under the name uncultured Sebacinales. RNAcentral describes it as "eukaryotic LSU rRNA". The stretch from base 194 to 607 matches the Rfam family "Eukaryotic large subunit ribosomal RNA", at positions 1 to 410 of the family's 3401-position model. The record is from RNAcentral. Lineage: Eukaryota; Fungi; Basidiomycota; Agaricomycetes; Sebacinales.